This 31-nucleotide non-coding RNA is filed under the name Rattus norvegicus (Norway rat). Lineage: Eukaryota; Metazoa; Chordata; Mammalia; Rodentia; Muridae. The record is from RNAcentral.
UGGGGUGCACCGAUGACUCUUUGUCUCCUUU